AGAUGCAGUUUCACUCUUGUUGCCCAAGCUGAAGUGCAAGGGCGCGAUCUCGGCUCACUGCAACCUCCGCCUCCCGAGCAGCUGGGAUUACAGGCAUAUGCCACCACGCCCGGCUAAAUUUGUAUUUUUAGUAGAGACGGCAUUUCUCUAUGUUGGCCAGGCUGGUCUCGAACUCCCUCAGGUAAUCCGCCUGCCUCGGCCUCCUAAAGUGCUUGAACUACAGGCAUGAGCCAAUCAUUUGUAUUUUUGAGUGCUUGCUCUUUGUUCAUCAUACUUGCUUGGUAUUACUUCAUAUAGGGCUAAUAAAACUACAAAAGUACUAUUUCUAUAGACUUAAUUCUUUAGCUCCUGAAAAAUUGAAAGAGCCAAUCUAUUUGGUGGAAAACCAGUCAGCCUUUAACUGAAUUCAGGUUUCUGAAAAGGACCAAAAUUAUAGCCAUAAUUCUAGUAACAUGUCAUUGUAGAGCUUCCCAAAUAAAAUGUGGCAACCUUUAUUUCUCACAUCUAACACCAUCAUCAUCAUCAUCAUUAUUUUUGAGACAGGGUCUUGCUCUGUCGCCCAGGCUGAAGUGCAGUGGCGUGAUCUUAGCUCACUGCAACCUCUGCCUCCCAGGCUCAAGCAAUUCUCACAUCUCAGCCUCCCGAGUAGCUGGGACCACAGGUGCAUGCCACCACACCUGGGUAAUUUUUGUAGUCUGGUAAAGAUGAGGUUUUGCCAUGUUGCCCAGGCUGACAUCUAACAUUAUUGACUCACCUGUAUGAAGGCAUAGUAACAGACCAGUAGAUAAUAGAUGACUUGUGAGAUGAUAGACCAGACACAGCCCUUCUUUGACAUCUGAAGGGAAGUGAAGCUUUCCAGUCUCAAAGAGGUGAAGAAAGCACCUGAGAAUAACAAAGAACACCUGGAGUCAAGAGUCUAAAACUUUUGCCCUCUUCUUGUUAAACUUUGUCUUUGAAUAACCCCAACUCUUCCUGUAUCAUCAAAUGUUUCUGAGUCUCAGUGCUCCACUUAGUAUUUCCUUUAGAGCUGUCAUGAACAUUAAAGGAGAUCAUGUAUGCAAAGCUAUUGGAGAAAUACUGGUUUUACAAAAGUCAGUAGUGGGAAAGGAUAUGCUGUUGACCCUACCUUGAAGGGAGGUGUCGGUGGCUUAACAGUUAUUAUAGAUGUUACCCUAUCCAUGUCAGAGUGGCUGCAGAGAGAGGUCUAAAGCACUGAUACCCCACGAGUACUAACGGUAUCCCAUGGAUACUCAGUCAUUUACAUAAGGAUGGACUAAAAGGCUUCAGCCUCCACCUGGAAGGACAUUGAAAAUGUUGACGUUUAUAAAAUCAUGAAAGGUCUUGUGAAUACAAACCUUUCACAAAGCUUCAAAAUAUUAGUGAUGGCAGCAGCACCCUGUCUGGAGUGGCUGCUGCCAUGACAUCGGCUGCAGUGGGAGGCAUGGCCGGGGCUUUGUGCGCUGUUGAGCUGCGGGAGCCAGUAACAGGUGGGAGCCCUGCCCCCUUCUGAGUUGGAGGGUUGGGAGCCCCACACUCCUGGGCAGAGCUGCAGCUGCCCAGCCACAGCUGCAGACCUGGGCAUCCCUGCACUCGGGGGCUCAGGAAACCCCCCUGCCCCUGCAGGUUCAGAAGUGCCUGCUCCCACUGCAUGGCCUCUCCCCACUCCCAGCACCUGCUCUGAUUUUGGAGCAAAGUUUUGGCCAAGCCUGGGUGUGUGUGCGCUUGGGGCAGUGCUGACAAGCAGCCCCCUACUGCCUCGGCCUUCUCCGAACUUUGGACACGGACAAGCAUGUGAGGCAGGGAGGGUAAGGGGGGGCUGAGGGUGGCUUGCCAUGGGCCCGCAGGUGCCCCUUGGCACAAACAGCCUGGGCACCAUGGGUGACAUGGAUGGCAGCAGGAGGCAGACAGGCUCCUGGGCAGAAAGGGGCAGGUCCCCAGUAAAGCCCCACCUUUAAAGCCAGGGAUCAUUUGAAGCCUGGGGGCUGGGCUGCCAGUUCUGGAACCUGCCAGUUUCACUAACUCAAUUGAGAACUUAUGGCGCUUCUUCUGGGCCCACCCAUGGCUGCCCAUGGACCAAUAAGCACACACUUACUCCCCUCUGAAGCCCAUAAAAACACCAGACUCAGCCAGACUUGGGCAGAUGGCAGGAUGACCUGCCUGCAGAUAGGAGCUACCCACUCCAGAUCUCUCUGCUGAGGGCUACACAAACAAUGGGACGACCUGCCUGUGGAUAGGAGCUACCAACUCCAGGUUUCCUGAAAACUGUCUUGUCACUCAAUGAAGCUCCUCUCCACCUCUCUCACCCUCCAGUUGUCAGUGUACCUCAUUCUUCCUGGAUGCAGGACAAGAACUCGGGACCCGCUGAGUGGUGGGACUGAAAGAGCUGUAACACAAACAGGGCUGAAACACACCCCCUUGCUUGCCACACUGCAAGCAAUGAGAAGGACAGAAUAGCUGUGGCCCUUUGGGGGAGCCCAGACCUACAGGCUCCCUGAGCCAGGGCUGUGACACCCUCUUUGGGGCUCUGUGCUUCUGGCAUCUCGAAGAUUCUAGGCACCAUGGCAUUCCUCAGAUGCAGUUACCCACAGCAGAAACCACAUGCAGUACAUCUGGUCCAGCUUCAGUCUUUCAGGGAGCCGGCACCUGUGCCAGCACAUAGAGCUGCCCAACUCACUGCAGCAGCCAGCGUGCCUGGCUGUGUGCAAUGGCUGGACCCCGUGCUUGCUCAUCCAUACAUACCUCACUGCUCUGUACCUGGCUGUCUCUUGGCAGGUGUGGGAUCCAGGCCAGUAGCAGGAGCUGAGUACAGGCUACCAGGCCAAUUCGGCAGAACGAGCACAGUGGCUGCAAGCAAUACUCAGGCAGAAGGUGCUGCCGGCCACAGAGGUUUCUGGCUGGCAAAGCAACACCCUAAGGAUGCUGUGACAUUAGAACUAAGAUGUACCCCUUGUAGGUAAAAAAGACAUUUAAGAACAAAAGGAAUUUCUAUUUCACCUAGCUAGCUCUCAAGACUGGAACUUUUCCCAUGUUUAUUUUAAUCCCUGUCUAUAUUUUGUUAGUAACUAAAAACCCCAUGAAGACCCUUAGGAAGCCUUUGUGCUUCAUUAGAAACAAGCAUAAGAGAAGUGGUCUACUCUCUGCAGGUCUGAGAGAAGAAUUCUUGAUUAGGAGAAAGAUGUGAUGGAAAAUGGAAGGAUACUUGUGAGCCAAUUCUGGGAGAAGAAAGAGAAGUUGGAUUAGGAUAGAUGUCCUGUGAAAGGUGGGGGAACUGAAUGGACCAGUUUAACUCCAAUCCCUUACAAAAUGCCACUAUAAUGAAAGUGACAGGAUAAAGUAAAAACUUCAAUAGAUGAAGAAAAGGAGGGCAGAUGAGAGCAACAAACUGCUGGAAGCUGAAAAGUAGAGGAAUCACAUUGACUUAGCAAGUUCAAGAAAGCUGAAAUCUAAGGCAGCUGUACAGGAAACCCGGAAGCAAGCUAAUUCUAACCAAGAAACCUUGGAAAGCCUCAGAAAUUGCAGGCAUCAGGUACUUCUGAAGGUAGAAGUUCAGGUGGAACUGAAAAUAGCAUCAACUGAAAGUCAAUAUAUAUAUAAACAACAACUAGAUUCCAAAUUUCCUCCCUCACCAUUCACAACCAGGUAUUUGCUACCUAUCUUGCCUUCUACCACCCCAUGACUAAAGGUUUGUUUCCCAGUGAUGCUGUAUGAGAGAAUCUGGACUUGGGGGCACCAGCUACCUCUGAGAGUAAUGGUUUACUGGAAAAGGGGAUUAAGGGAAAGUUUACGUGCUGCAUGGUGAGACACUUCCCAGAUCCCUUCCCUCAACUUGCUCUGAUAAGUAUAAUAGGCUCAUAUACUCAAGAUUGGAGUUUGUAGGGUCUCUAAAAACUGACUGCCCAAAAAGAGAGACUUAGAUACCCAGUUGAUAAGCUCUAUGCAUGGGCACAGAGCUUUGUUUUUUAUUUUUUUUUUAUUUUUUUGAGAUGGAGUCUCACUCUGUCCCCCAGGCUGGAGUGCAGUGGCACGAUCUCAGCUCACUGCAACCUCCGCCUCCUGGGUUCAAGCAAUUCUCCUGUCUCAGCCUCCUGAGUAGCUGGGAUUACAGGCAUGUGCCACCAUGCCUGGCUAAUUUUUGUAUUUUUAGUAGAUAUGGGGUUUUGCC
Molecule: long non-coding RNA, 4162 nt
Filed under: Homo sapiens (human)
Lineage: Eukaryota; Metazoa; Chordata; Mammalia; Primates; Hominidae
Description: HSALNT0386791
Source: RNAcentral